This is a long non-coding RNA of Homo sapiens (human), 4032 nucleotides long. RefSeq lists it as uncharacterized. The record is from RefSeq and is a predicted model, not a curated record. NCBI's taxonomy places the organism in Eukaryota, Metazoa, Chordata, Mammalia, Primates, Hominidae. The transcript has 4 exons.
CAGCAGAAAGGGCAUGGGUGCUUACAUCAGAAAAACUUGGGUUCAUAUUCCAGCCGUCAUGCUUAUGCCAGCUAUGUUGCUUGAUCUCUCUAAGCCCUGAUUUCCUCAUCUUUAAAAUAAAAACUCUUUAUCUGUUCACAGAGAACUGUUGUGAAGAUUAAAGCAGAUCACAGAGACUUAAAGCUCUUGAAAAAAAAAAAGAAGAAGAGAAUCAGCCUUUUGGUCAAUAGAACUGUGCUUGAGAAGGUUUCCAACCAUUGCUCCCAUUGGUUUUGCUGAUGAAAUGAAAGUUGCCAUUGCAACUAGCCACCUUAUGGAAUUUAUCUAUUCCUACACUGAAAGUUGAUUGUAUUGAUCUCUUUUCAAGCAGAGGAAAGGCUGACGACAUGUUGAUCUUUUUCAUUGGUUACGAUCUCGGCGAUACUGAACAUGUGUCCUACAAGUUUCCCUACUGGCUUGGUGCUGAUAUUGGGGUGCCACAACCGGAUGACCUUAUCAUCUCCUGAAAAGGAGGACAGGGAAAGAUUGUUGGUUUUCUGAGGUGGUCAGAGUUUCAAAUGUAUCUCUCACUGUAUCAUACCCGUAUCUUUCUUCGAACAGCAAAUCACAGUCCGUUUCUGGCAGGAUGCAUUAUUCUGUGAUUGAUGUGCUAAGGGGCUGGCCUUGGUUUGGAUCUGCUGCUUCUUGUGAAGGCUGUUUUGUAAAGACUGUAUUUACAUACACAAAUGUGAAUUCUCAUAAAUAUUUUAUGAGUUCUUUUCUUGACUCAAUCCUUUCCUAUACUUUGAUGCAUUAAUGUAUUAUUUAUACUUUAUUUACUUCCAAAGAUAUUUAAGGCAGCUGUUCUUUUGUUUUCAUUCUUAAAUUAUGCAAACAUUAUAAUAAUGAAAGAAAUCAAGGACAGAGGAAACUGCACUUAAUCUUCACCAUUAUAACAAAUCAACUGUUGUCAUUUUUCCGUCUUCCCUUCUAGCAUGUAUUCAUAGGCAUAUAUAAUUUAUGUGUAGUUACUACCAUAGAAUAAAUAUGGUUUUUUAAUUGCUAAAAAUCAUAGAAGGGCAUAAUUUUUAUAAAAAUGUCUUUUCCUCCAUAAUCUCUAACUCCCUGUGGGAAAUCACUGUUAACUUUUUAAAAAUAUAAAUUAGAUAUAUUUCUAGAUACAUAUUUAUACCCACUACUUUUUUUUAUUUAGGAAAGGCCACGAGCUCAUGCCCGCAUAAUUAUCCUUUUAGUUACUAUUUCAGAAUUUCUUAACCCCUUGUCCAUUGAUUAGUCCACUAAUUCUAGUUUUUUACUUUAUUCAGCAAUACUGCAACGAAUGGUUAUUGUACUUCUGUGGUCUUUUUUUCCUUUUGGAUUAUUUACUGUGGAUAAAGUCCCAAGUGUGGUAUCAUUAUGUUACAGGCUAUAUACAUUUUUAUCACUUUUAAACAUAUUGCUAGCUUACUUUCCAAAAUGGCUGUACUAAAUCCCAAGGCCAUCAAUGAUAUAUUCUGUCAGUUUCAUUAAAUUCUGGCCAGCACAUGAAUAUUGUCAUGAUUUAAAAUGUUUGCUAUGUUAAUAGUUCUAAAUGAUACCUUAUUUUUAAUUACAUUUUAUGAUAGCUAAUGCCGUUGGGUAUUUUUUCCCAAAUAUAUCUGCUAAUUGUAUCUUCUUCGUCUGUAAAUUUUUUGACUAUAUCCUUUAGCCAUGAUCUAUUGGAAUUUUGACAGCACUGAAAAUAAAAGUUGAACCAAGAAUGUAUUAUCAUAUGUACACACACACACACACACAGUUUUAUGAAAAAACUGGCUGCAUUUUCACCAAAACCAUAUCCUCUCUUCCUGGAUACACAUUUCCAGGCUCCUUUGCAGUUAGGCGUGGUCAGAUUACUGAGUUUUCGCCAGUGAAUUCUGAGAGCUGAUUUUAAACUUUACAUUUUCAUUGUGUCUGACCCAUUCACAUUUUGGGAGUUAUUUUUUACAGUAGCCAGCAUUACUUAAACAAAUGUGCAGCUGUAAUCUAAUUAUGUUUCCAAAAAGAAUAAAAACUGUAAUCAUUUACAAAACAUAGAAUAUUUUUAAGAUAUUAAAUUUUAUAUUUCACAAAUAGUUCUUUAAAUGUCAUCCUGGAAACUGAGUCAUAAAAACAUCAAAGAACUUCAAACUGGGAUCCUAGAAGUUGCAUAAUCCAACUUUCUUAUCUCACAAAAGAAAGAAACUAACUCCCAAAGAUUAAGUAAUUUUAAUUGAAUGAUUUAAUUUAAUUAUUUAAAUGUGAUUUGUACAUCUGAGAAAAUGGAAUUGAGUUAGUAAUACAACAAAGCAUGCCUAAGCACCUUACAUAUUACCAAGGACCUUUAGGCUACUAGACAAAAAGGCUGUAUAAAGGCGUUAUAACCUAAGUUAUAAUUUAUGUAUAACCUAAAUUAUUAACAGUCAUAAUUUACAUAUAAAAAGCCUAAAAUUCAAAAUAGUCAUUUUACAUUCUUCACAGAAUUAGAAGAAACUAUUUUAAAAUUUAAGUGGAACCAAAAAAGAGCCUGAACAGCAAAGACAGUCCUAAGCAAAAAGAACGAAGCUGACGGCAUCACACUAUCCCACUUCAAACUAUACUACAAAGCUCCUGUGACCAAAACAGCAUGGUACUGGUACGAAAAGAGACACAUAGACCAAUGGAACAUAAUAGAGAUCUCAGAAAUAAAACCACACAUCUACAACCAGCUGAUUGUCAACAAACCUGACCAAAACAAGCAAUGGGGAAAGGAUUCCCUAUUUAAUAAAUGGUGCUGGGAGAACUGGCUAGCCACAUGCAGAAAACUGAAAUUGGUCUCUUUUCUUACACCUUAUACAAAAAUUAACUCAAGAUGGUUUAAAGACUUGAAUGUAAACCCCAAAACCAUAAAAGACCUAGAAGAAAAUCUAGGCAAUACCAUUCAGGACAUAGGCAUGGGCAAAGACUUCAUGACAAAAACACCAAAGGCAAUGGCAACAAAAGCAAAAAUUGACAAAUGGGAUCUAAUUAAGGAGCUUCUGCACAGCAAAAGAAACUAUCAUCAGAGUGGACAGACAACCUACAGAAUGGGAGAAAAUUUUUGCAAUCUAUCCAUCUGACUAACAUCUAAUAUCCAGAGUCUAUAGGAACUUAAACAAAUUUACUAGAACAAAAACUACCCCAUUAAAAAGUGAACAAAAGACAUGAACAGAUACUCCUGAAAAGAAGACAUUUAUGCGGCCAAAAAACAUAUUAAAAAAACUCAACAUCGUUGGUCAUUGGAGAAAUGCAAAUCAAAACCACAAUGAGAUACCAUCUCAUGCCAGUGAGAAUGGUGAUUAUUAAAAAGUCCAGAAACAAGAGAUGCUGGCAAAGUUGCGGAGAAAAAGAAAUGCUUUUACAGUGUUGGUGGGAGUGUAAAUUAGUUCAACCACUGUGGAAGGCAGUGUAGCGAUUCCUCAAAUAUCUAGGGACAGAAAUACCAUUUGACCCAGCAAUCCCAUUACUGGGUAUAUACCCAAAGGAAUACAAAUCAUUCUAUUAUAAAGAUACAUGGCUGCGUAUCUUAAUUGCAACACUAUUCACAAUAGCAAAGACAUGGAAUCAACCCAAACACCCAUCGAUGAUAGAUGGGAUAAAGAAAAUAUGGUACAUAUACACCAUGAAAUACUGUGCAGCCAUAAAAAGGAACAAGAUCAUGUCCUUUGCAAGGAUGUGGAUGGAGCUGGAAGCCGUUAUCCUCAGCAAACUAACACAGGAACAGAAAACCAAACACUGUAUGUUCUCACUUAUAAGUGGGAGCUGAACCUUGAGAAUGGACACAUGGACUCACGGUGGGGAACAACUCACAUUCACUGGGUGGUGAGGAAGAGAGAGGAUCAGGAAGAAUAGCUAAUGGAUGCUGGACUUAAUAUCCAGGUGAUAGGUUGAUCUGUACAGCAAACCACCAUGGCACAUGUUUACCUAUGUAACAAACCUGCACAUCCUUCACAUGUACCCUGGAACUUAAAAUAAAUUUGAAGGAAAAAAAGAAAAUAAAUAAAUUUUUAAAACCCAAAA